GUCUAUCUCUACGCCUCGUUGAAUACACCAGUUCUCGUCAGAUCACUGAAGUUAAGCGACGUCGGGCGUGGUCAGUACUCGGAUGGGUGACCAUCAAUUGAUUUGCUGGAAUUCAUAAGAGAGGUGCC
Molecule: ribosomal RNA, 128 nt
Filed under: Olea europaea subsp. europaea
Lineage: Eukaryota; Viridiplantae; Streptophyta; Magnoliopsida; Lamiales; Oleaceae
Source: RNAcentral